GCAAGGCUUGCAUUUUGAGUCGAAUAAAUCCAUAACCCAGCUUAUUGGAAUUUUGAGACCAAGUUUCCUAACUAUAGAUCAAAUGGGUAUCACAGGACAAGCACCACAUUUAGUCAUUCUACAAAUCAACUUGCAUGAAGAAAGCACCAUUCAUUAUCGUCACCACCAUCCAAUGGACAGAGCAAAUAAAUAAAUCCAUAGUAUUUAAAGGUAUAAAAUCCA
Molecule: unclassified non-coding RNA, 222 nt
Filed under: Hevea brasiliensis (rubber tree)
Lineage: Eukaryota; Viridiplantae; Streptophyta; Magnoliopsida; Malpighiales; Euphorbiaceae
Source: RNAcentral